RNA transcript from Hevea brasiliensis (rubber tree), 1995 nucleotides. RefSeq lists it as uncharacterized. NCBI's taxonomy places the organism in Eukaryota, Viridiplantae, Streptophyta, Magnoliopsida, Malpighiales, Euphorbiaceae. The transcript has 3 exons. The record is from RefSeq and is a predicted model, not a curated record.
AUAAACAAAAACUUUCAAAGCAGAGUCAUCACACGAGUGACGAGAAAAGGAAGCCCUCUCUUUCAUUUGAUCAUUUUAUUGAAAAUCCUCUUCUCCUUCUCUUCAUUUCUUUGAUCUCUUCAAUUUUCUCUGCUCUCCACUUCUAUUGCUGUAACCCCAUGUUAGCUCAUAUCCUCCAAAAUCGUUUACUUUGAAAUCUUAGCUCUCCAUCUCUCUCGUACGGAGUACAAAAAAGGACAAAGAAAUGAUUCAGCUACUGUUUACACUGAUAUUCUCUGAGAUGGCAUUGAUAAUGGUGCUUGUGUUCAAGACCCCGUUAAGAAAGUUAGUGUUGAUGAGUCUGGAUCGGGUCAAGCGAGGUCACGGCCCAAUCGUGGUAAAGACGGUGGCAGGAACGGUUUUUGUGGUGUUGAUGUCAAGUGUGUACAGCAUAAUGAAGAUACAGAAGCGUUGGAUCGAUGAGGGUGCUGUCAAUCCAACGGACCAGGUUCUCAUGGCCAAGCACCUUCUUGAGGCCACUCUCAUGGGAUCCUCUCUCUUCCUUGCACUAUCGAUGGACAGACUGCACCAUUAUAUCCAAGAACUCCGUAUACGGCGGAAGAGCAUGGAUGCUGCGAAGAAACAAAAUCGAGUUAUUGAGGAUGGAAAAGUUGAGGAGAGCAAAGUCCUGGAAAAAGAGAUGACCACAGAACUAGCAAAACUUAAGCAACUAGAAUCAGAACUGGAGGUGAAAACAAAAGAGGUUCAUGCUUCAGAAGCUAAUGCAGCAGCUCUGAGGAAGCAAUCUGAAGGAUUCCUUCUGGAGUAUGAUCGCUUACUUGAGGAGAACCAAAACCUACGGAACCAACUUCAAUCUUUGGACUUGAGAUUAUCUCAUUCAAGUACCAAGAAGAAUACUUAAGGAACUGAGCACCUUCAUCAAAUAGAUUUUUCAAAUUCCAUUUUACUUUUAUACUAUUCAUCUGGAAAAUUUUAAAUUUGAUUUUUUUUAUUGUGGUUCAAGUUUGAGUUAUGCAUUAUUGUAAGUGGAGAAAAAGAGAGAAGCAAAAUAGGAAAAAGGAAAGAGAAAAUAGGUUUUUAUUUUCUGUGUUCAAUUCAAGUAGGCUUCAUAACGAAGAAGAAUGGGUCAAUAUUGUCCGGAGAAAAUGUGGUGCAUUGUGAGGACAACUCAAGACCUGCUCUUCUUAUGACUUUUAAAGAGAAUGGUCAGGAAUGGUUAGUCCUUUUCUUUAUUUUUCUUUUUUCGAUAAAUGGUUUCAAAAUACGACUGAUUUUAGACGACUAUUCUGCAUAGCUUAAGUCCUUGAAUUGUUAAAAAGUUUCAGUGUAGGGGAUCAUUUUCUUGGAGAGCCCAUCUGUAUUGAAUACAGUGAGUAGCAUCAAGCCAUGGAGAACCAGAACUGAGAGUGCAGAUAACACUAGCAUCAAUACGAAUGCUGGCAUGAUCUUAGAACCUUUUUUGCAUAUUCAGCAGACGCUGGACCCAGGAAUGUUAGUGGUAAGCCCAAAACUUUACAAAGCCUAACAAAGGGCACCAAAUAAUGCACCAUCCCCAGUGAGAGUAUGCAAACUGCUCCUUUAUGCCCUCUCUGUGCUGCUGCUGUUACAACCACUAGGUUCGCUAAUACCGAUAUUUGGCUGGUUGGAUUUGCAAGAAUGUAACUACACAAUGCUUUAAAAGCAAAAAAGGUUCUUUAGCAGCAAUUUUCAGGGAUCAUCGCAGUAACCCCAUGGGAUGGAGAGCCAGGCAACUCUUUUGGCUCAGUCAAAAGGCUUCCAUCGAGUUAUUACGGAAGGCGACACCAGUAUUGUUAUUCAAGCUCUUCAAGGUGGUUCAUGCCAUUUAGCUAUCCAAGGAAUUGAUAAUGAUAUCCAUAUAUAUGUUGUCAACGUUUUAUUUCAAUCAGCCUUUCUCAUGUUAAAGGGUCUUGUAACAAGGCUGCUCAUAGAAUUGCCUUUAAUAUGUUACAUGUAUGAUAUCUCUUUUAGAUGCAA